RNAcentral lists this long non-coding RNA (845 nucleotides) under Polistes fuscatus (common paper wasp). Its description in RNAcentral is "uncharacterized LOC122517062". The record is from RNAcentral. Lineage: Eukaryota; Metazoa; Arthropoda; Insecta; Hymenoptera; Vespidae.
GAGCUGAUCGCCUCGUCUCCCGUUAGCCAAUCGCGAGUACCGAGUCUGGUCGAGACGAAUAAUCCCGAAUCUAGUCGACUCAAGCCGAAUCUGCCGGCCGGCCGGUGUUUCUUCGGUCUUCUUCGCGCGCCAAUUCUCAUUUUAUUUCGUUUCAUCGAUCGCCUACCGACCGUCUUUCGCUAGCUAGACCCUUACUUCCUCUUGCUCCUUCGCCCCACUAUUACCUCUUCUUGCCCUUUAAUCUCCCCUCUUCAUCCUUCAUCCAAAUGCAUGUCUUUUAAAGAUCGAGCCGAUUACAGUCAAAUUAAACGCCAUCUUGUGCGAGCGACGACAAACGACUCUUUUGAAUUAUAUACACAUGUUGUUUUAUGGCGCGUAAAUUUACAAUGUUCGAAUAAUUCGAUGGUACUACUAUUGUUUGAAUUGAACGAUAGGUCGAGGAAAUUCGAAAGAAUGUUUAAUUUAUAGUCAUGCCAACGAGCGAAUAAUUCCAACUACUUACUUUUUCUUUUAGCAGUACGUUUCUUCCAUCGCUGACGAUCUUCGUGAUUUUUACAUUUGUCGAUUUCAUCUAUUUUUGAUAAAAUUGUAACUGGUUCCAUUUCAUCGAAUGACUGAUGAACAUUUCCUUUUUCUUCAGACGACACUUUUAAAAAAAUUAUCUUAUGAAUAAUGUUCCAGAUAACGUUUCCUCGCCAGUUGAGCAGCUGCAAAAUUUGGUUUAUGAUUAUGCUCCAUACUUACUUGCGGCUUCGUGCAAUUUUUUGUUGUUAAGAGAGUUCCUCUGCAAUGGGUUGUUCUACCGACGCAUCUCCAACGGAUGUAUUGAGGGUGUUUCUUGUGCA